Molecule: microRNA, 22 nt
Filed under: Macaca mulatta (Rhesus monkey)
Lineage: Eukaryota; Metazoa; Chordata; Mammalia; Primates; Cercopithecidae
Description: Mml-Mir-430-P22_5p* (star (passenger))
Source: RNAcentral
CUCUAGAGGGAAGCACUUUAUC